GCCGAAGUGGUGGAAUUGGUAGACACGUGCGUUUCAGGGGCGCAUGGCCGCAAGGCCGUGGGGGUUCGAGUCCCCCCUUCGGCA
RNAcentral lists this transfer RNA (84 nucleotides) under Blastocatellia bacterium. RNAcentral describes it as "tRNA-Leu". It matches the Rfam family "tRNA". From Rfam's summary of the family: Transfer RNA (tRNA) molecules are approximately 80 nucleotides in length. Their secondary structure includes four short double-helical elements and three loops (D, anti-codon, and T loops). The record is from RNAcentral. Lineage: Bacteria; Pseudomonadati; Acidobacteriota; Blastocatellia. RNAcentral also lists the same sequence under 1 other name.